RNAcentral lists this microRNA (23 nucleotides) under Pristionchus pacificus. RNAcentral describes it as "ppc-miR-8253-3p". The record is from miRBase by way of RNAcentral. Lineage: Eukaryota; Metazoa; Nematoda; Chromadorea; Rhabditida; Neodiplogasteridae.
UCGAAAUGUAUCUCUUCCACAUA